This 2798-nucleotide long non-coding RNA is filed under the name Brachypodium distachyon (stiff brome). RNAcentral describes it as "long non-coding RNA (BDIS_LNC002844)". The record is from RNAcentral. Lineage: Eukaryota; Viridiplantae; Streptophyta; Magnoliopsida; Poales; Poaceae.
GGGAGGUCUUCUCCUGCUGGUUGCAGGAUCUGGUGGUAGAGGGCAAGCCGAUGAGCAGCACAAGAGCAAGGACGAGGGAAGGUAUGUGUAAUUUUCUGGUCACAUAUGAAAGCUUGAGUGGCUGCAUGGUGUUCUUAUGAAACUAGGAUGAAAAUAGAUGUUCAUUCUUUGGCUGGUUUCUUCUACUGUAUUAAACAGUAGUGCCCCUUGUUGGAGUUCUUACAAGUACAGAGCAGGUCGCCUUGCUAAGACCGACUCGCUUGACUAAAACCAAAUUCCUGGUAGACCUUUGUUUCCAAAUCUUAGUGAUAUGACAUGCAGCUUGCAGGUUUCUUUUUUUUUUUGACGAAACCAAACGCUUAUAAAACUAGAGUAUAUCUAAAAACUGUAGUAUUCUCAAAAUACCGAGAAAAAACUGAGCUACCAAACAGAGAUAUUCUGUGCCCUGACUGGGUACAGCAUGGAUGGUCUAGCCAAGGAACAUUCAGAGGGCAACAAUGACAAGUUUAUUUAUAGCUUAAUGGACCUGGUGCCCUGUUAUCUUGCAGGGUUUGCCUGGUGUAUACGAGUAUUGAUGUAUACCACUGGCGCAUCACCCCGGACCCAUGGGAUUGGGAGUUCAAGUAGACCGAGUUGCGUAGCGUUUGAGGACUUGCAGUAGCAGAAGGAUAGACAGAACGAAAUCGGGCUAUAUAUAAAGAAGUGUAUUUCUUUUUUUCUUUUCUUUUUAGUAAGUAUCACAAAACUCCUAAUUUCUGACGAAUUUUAUCAGAGAGCUACACCUUUUCGGUUUUUAAUCACUUAACCCGUAUUCUUGGACAAAAUUGUAUUGCAAAACCCGUAAUCUCGCUGUCAACAUAGGUAACAGCGUUACUGACACUGGGGCCCACCUGUCGGCCUCACACACGAAAAGUGGUUUAGCUAGUUUGGUCUGGUUCGGUUUUCUCUCGUCUGUUGGCCCGGAACUCCUUCAGUUCCACGUUUGUCGGCCCGAAACCGGCAAAGCAAUCGGGGAGCUCCUCGCUGCGAGGCAAGUCGAUGGACAGAGGGCUGGGCUGCCCGUAGCGUCCGCCGCCGAUGCAGAGCGUGAGGUGGAAGAAGAGCAGUGGCCCAAAAGGUGCACUAGCUCCGUCCUCAGGAGGAUCGCUGGCCCGCACCCACCGAAUCUCUAGCUCUAGCAAGACGCGGGCCAGCGGCGGGCACACCCAGGCGAAGAGCAUGAACCACCAUGAAGGCGUUGUCGUUGCCACCCAUGGCAUCUUUCCUGCCAUAGCCUGACGAGGUCAUGGAGACCUGCACGGUGUAACAAUUGUCAACCGCUGAAGGCGGGGUCAAAGACCGGCACGCGGUACAGCAGCUGCUGUUCCUCCUCCUCCUCUGCUACUGUUGUCCUCUGCUCAUGGGACGACUCUCCGCCGGCGCCAACCUGGUCGAGCACCACACAACGACGAGCCGCAGGAGUCCGCGUGGCGUGAGCGAGGGUGCAGGACAGAAGGAAGAACAGAGCAGGCCCGAACCCACCUGAACCGGCAGAAAAAUGGGAGAAAACCGAACCGGACCGAACUAGAUAAGCCAGUUUUUGUGUCUGAGGCCGACAGGUGGGUCCCAAUGUCAGUAACGUUGAUAGUUGUGUUGACAGCGGGAUUACGGGUUUUGCGAUACAGUUUUGUCCAAGAAUACAGGGUAAGUGAUAAAAACUCCAAAAGGUGGAAUUCUAUGUUAUAGUUCGUCAGAAAUUAGGGGUUUUAUGAUAUUUACUCAUUCUUUUUUUUGGUAGAAGUGCAUUUCUUUUCUUUUGGGUAUGUUUCUGUUGUAAAUUAAUAAAUUUCAGAUGAUGUUAUUCUGACGCUCCUACCACCUGGAGUCCUGGAGGAUGUAGAGAUCUGGCAAGUGGCUGGUACCUGCAGCCUUAUGAAUACGGCACACUGAAUUGACAUGAACAUGACAGGGGCUUGGUCUCGCCAAAUUUUCUCUGACCUGACUUGCGUACUCUGCGACAAGUCAAAUACGUUCUUCAAGCUGAGUCCAUGCACCUGCACUGCUUUUUUUUAGGGGAUCAUAGAUGUUCAUAGGGAUACAAAAUAUGUCAGGACUGCUGCAUACCCAAAUGAAAUGGCGAACCAUUCUUUCUUGUUCAAGCUGGGCUAAUAUUCCGAGGCCCAAUUUAUUAAGGUAUCCGCUUUCAGUUGCGUCCCUGCCGAUGCCGAGCCCAACCUCCCCGCCUGCUGGAAACGACCGGCCCACAGCGAGUCGCCGAGGCUAGUUCCGGAUGUCCAGCCCAUAUGGCAGAUUUCAGCCGCCGCAGGCCGGCGGUGCCCCCUCGCCGGGCGGCGACCUCCCGCUCGAGCUGUCGAACCACGCGACGCAAGCGCACUAUCCGUGGUCCGUGCCAUUAUCUCUCAUGCUCAUCCCACAGUCCUCAUUCCCGCGUGUGCGAUACGGAAUCUCGCGCGCGAACCCUAGCGAAAUCUUCGCACCCGCGGCCACCCGCAGCGAAAUCUGCGGCCCGGAGGUAAUUCGCUCCGGUGAGUGUUUCUGAUUGAGAGAAGCAGCAAGUGGAUGGUACUCUGGUAAGUAACAGACAUCCUGUCAAACAUUCGUCACCCUUCGCAUGUGUAUCAAAGUAAAUAAAUACUGAACAAAGAGUUACACACUGUUGACAUGGCUCAAUCACUAACCAUUUCCAAAUUACAUUGUUCGAGGUGGUUUAUGGCUUCACCGAUACAUCAAAUGGCUUCAAUCCCUUCUCAUCUGGACCUUGUGGAAUGCAGAACAUACUGAAAGUCAAGAUAUACCAG